This 1634-nucleotide long non-coding RNA is filed under the name Pomacea canaliculata. RNAcentral's name for it is "uncharacterized LOC112567074". The record is from RNAcentral. Lineage: Eukaryota; Metazoa; Mollusca; Gastropoda; Architaenioglossa; Ampullariidae.
CAGCAUUACGUCAUCCCGGAGUGUUUGAAAUAUUUCCGUCCUCGCAACUUAUAAUUUAACCACUUUGCCUUGGCAGGGAGCAGCCUUGCAUUCUUCCUUAUCUGGUGAUUUCGGCGUGAGCACAAAGCUGACGGUUCGAUUGCUACUGCACGAAGAUUCUGCAGCAUUUACCAGACUAGUCUACAUUCAUGAAUACCUGAAUUAUAAUUUAAUACGUGAUGUUACCAAUGCGAUUGUCUAAUGUUUCAUUGUGGCUACUAUCAGUGGCAGGAACAACUGAUCUGAACAUGUGAUACUUUUACUACUAUAAUUUUGUUGUGUCAAAUUAUUUUUACUAUGAGAGAGUAAAUGCAGUAAAGUUCACUGAACCAGACUGUGGAAGGGAAAUUAAAUUUUUUUUAACAUGUACUAUAACUAUCAACAUUAUUAAAUGCAACAUUAAUUAAAUAAGCCAAAUUUGCUUUUUAAAGUUGUUUUGCAUGCAGAAGGUUCUCUUGUAACUACAAGAGAUAUUUUAGCUGAUUAUGAUUUCUAACAUAUACUUCUACACUAGAUGGUGACCAAUUCACUACUUUAAACUUUUAAGAAAGCUUCACCAGCAAACAGUAAUAAAAUGCCACACAAAGUUGAGGGAAUCCCAAACAAGUUGUUUAUUAAAUGGGUAAACUGUUGCACUAUACAUUCCUACACAAUUAUCAUAAUGUCACCAAACACUGAUUUACAAGGCUGUAUGGACAGCAGGCAUUUUUAAUGAAGGCAAAGAGUUGAACAAGACUAUAUUAUACAGUAAUUGUACUGGAGUUUAACAAUAUGCAUAUGAUCUGGUAUAAUUUAUACUGUCAGAAGACAGUAAGGUAUAAAAAAAAAUUGAGAAAAGUAUACCUAGAACAUUACAUAAUAGUUAAAGAUGGCAGGUUGUGUAUUAACAGAGGAACUACCUAUUAACAAAUUCAUAUUGUUACGAGGCAUGGAAGCUGGCAUGAAUUUUAGGCCUAUAACAGGAUAGGAAAAAGCCUAAAAUUAGCAGCCUUAACCUGCCCCAAGGUAAACUGCACAUAACUUGAGAUACAUUUCUGAAAACCUCUGUAGUGGAGAAGUUCAGCUCAUACGAUUCAUAUACAUAUGCAAAGCUGGCUGUUGUCAAACUCUGAAUCAUUCAAACGGAGACCAACAUGACGGCAGAAAAUGCUUCAACGUACAUUGCAAGAAGCAAACAUCUUUAUACAAGUUCACACACCAUGGAGAAUGACUAACAAUUUAUAUACCUUGUGUUUAAGUUCCUUUAACAGGAACAGACACAAGAAGACAAAUUAAUGAAGUAUUUUCUGUAUACAAAAUAAUCUCCUUGACAUCACAGAUUAGUUAAGUAUAAAUGACAUUUAAACAUAGAUGUACAAAGAGUAUACCAUACUUCAUACCUCCACAAUUUGCUUUUUUUUUCUACUUGCAUGUAAAUGUGGAAAAUUUUUUUUACACAGUGCUUUUAGCAAAUCAUUAAACUAUUUUCUUAAAACUCAAUUUUACUCAACAGUUAAAUAGCAACAAUAUUGUUUUUAACACGAGUGAGAUUAUUCGCUUAUGCAAAUAAUUUUUUUUAAAUGUGCUGUCUCCUUUCAUGUAGAAUUAAAAAAAAA